RNAcentral lists this ribosomal RNA (620 nucleotides) under Trichoderma harzianum. RNAcentral's name for it is "eukaryotic LSU rRNA". The stretch from base 235 to 388 matches the Rfam family "5.8S ribosomal RNA". The record is from RNAcentral. Lineage: Eukaryota; Fungi; Ascomycota; Sordariomycetes; Hypocreales; Hypocreaceae.
UGUUCCGUAGGGGGGACCUGCGGAGGGAUCAUUACCGAGUUUACAACUCCCAAACCCAAUGUGAACGUUACCAAACUGUUGCCUCGGCGGGAUCUCUGCCCCGGGUGCGUCGCAGCCCCGGACCAAGGCGCCCGCCGGAGGACCAACCAAAACUCUUUUUGUAUACCCCCUCGCGGGUUUUUUAUAAUCUGAGCCUUCUCGGCGCCUCUCGUAGGCGUUUCGAAAAUGAAUCAAAACUUUCAACAACGGAUCUCUUGGUUCUGGCAUCGAUGAAGAACGCAGCGAAAUGCGAUAAGUAAUGUGAAUUGCAGAAUUCAGUGAAUCAUCGAAUCUUUGAACGCACAUUGCGCCCGCCAGUAUUCUGGCGGGCAUGCCUGUCCGAGCGUCAUUUCAACCCUCGAACCCCUCCGGGGGGUCGGCGUUGGGGAUCGGCCCUGCCUCUUGGCGGUGGCCGUCUCCGAAAUACAGUGGCGGUCUCGCCGCAGCCUCUCCUGCGCAGUAGUUUGCACACUCGCAUCGGGAGCGCGGCGCGUCCACAGCCGUUAAACACCCAACUUCUGAAAUGUGACCUCGAUCAGGUAGGAAUACCCGCUGAACUUAAGCAUAUCAUAGCUGGGAAG